RNAcentral lists this transfer RNA (71 nucleotides) under Loxodonta africana (African savanna elephant). It matches the Rfam family "tRNA". Rfam says of the family: Transfer RNA (tRNA) molecules are approximately 80 nucleotides in length. Their secondary structure includes four short double-helical elements and three loops (D, anti-codon, and T loops). Further hydrogen bonds mediate the characteristic L-shaped molecular structure. tRNAs have two regions of fundamental functional importance: the anti-codon, which is responsible for specific mRNA codon recognition, and the 3' end, to which the tRNAs corresponding amino acid is attached (by aminoacyl-tRNA synthetases). tRNAs cope with the degeneracy of the genetic code in two manners: having more than one tRNA (with a specific anti-codon) for a particular amino acid; and 'wobble' base-pairing, i.e. permitting non-standard base-pairing at the 3rd anti-codon position. Lineage: Eukaryota; Metazoa; Chordata; Mammalia; Proboscidea; Elephantidae. The record is from Rfam by way of RNAcentral.
GCGGUGGUGGUUCAGUGAUAGAACUUUCACUUUCCAUACAGGAGACCUGGGUUCGAGUCCCAGCUGCUGCA